GGGCGCGGGUGGCCCCUCGGGAAGGGCCCGAAGCGGAGCGAGGGGCUGCGGCUGCCCGGCCCAGCUGUCGGGUGUGGCGGAGAGAGCUCCCAAGGGCGGGUUACCUCACUGUACCCUGCACCAAAGGAGGAGUGGCCAGCGGGGUGAAGGAAGUGAAAGUCCCUCUUUGCUCUGCCCUCGUGAGACUCCAUCUGGAGUACUGUGUCCAGGCUUGGGGUCCCCAGCAUAGGAGGGUUGUGGAGCUGUUGGAGUGGGUUCAGAGGUCAGCACGAAGAUGCUCAGAGGGCUGAGCACUUCUCCUGUGAAGACAGGCUGAGGGAGCUGGGCUUGUGCAGCCUGGAGAAGUGAAGGCUUCAGGGAGACCAGUGGCCUUGCUGUGCUUAGAAAUUUAUAAGCAGAAGGGAGACAAAUUUCUUACAUGGUCUUAUAGUGAUAAGGACAAGCAGGAAUGGCUUUAAACUAAAAGAGGGGAGAUUUAGGUGGAAUUUGGUGGAGAUUUAGGAGGAAACUUUUUACUCAGAGGGCGGUGAGGCGCUGGCACAGCUGCCCAGAGAAGCUGUGGUGCCCCAUCCCUGGAGGCACUCAGGGCCAGGUUGGAUGGGGCCCUGGGCAGCUGAGCUGGUGGGUUGGAACCAGAUGACUUUUGAAGUCUCUUCUAAUGCAAACCGUUCUAUGUUUCUAUGAUUCUAUGAAAAGUUUAUUGUUUGAAGAGAUGCUUUGCCUUUUGUAAAACAGUGUGUGUGUGAUCUGAAAUAACAGCUUAUGCUGGUUCAGCAAGUGUUGGAAAGGACAUGUGAAGCAAUAGGGAAGCCUGUAAAAGUCACAGCUGUGAGGAACUUUCCCAUGUGAUGGAGAUUUAGGGGUUGGGCUCUGCACAAGAGAAUGCUUUUAGCUGCAUUUUAGGUGAGCCACAAGCUUGACUGGGGGUCUCUUGCUGCAUGGCAGUUUUGUUCUUUUAUAGUGACCAGUGUGAGUCUUUUGCUGCAGGUGAACAAGUCCUGACAGCUUUAGUGGUUAACCAGAUUAGCAUGGGGAGAUACAGCCGGCUCCACUGCUGCUGUGCAAGAUUUCUCCUGGUGCAACAAAAACCUUCUGAAGUUGAAAAGCUACGAAUUCUUCCAGCUGUGCUGAAACACUGUCCAAAAUGAGAGACAAUGAGAAGUGACAUCCCAAAGUAACAGACUGUGAACAUUAACAUUUAGAUGAAGCAUAGCGUUUCUCUGUGCACCUUGCCAGCAUCUACCUCGGCUGAAGCCUCAAGUCAUUUGAAGACACCCUCUUUCACCUUUAUAAGAGAGGGGAAAUAUAACAAAUGGAUAGAGUGUUUGAAAAGCCUCAAUGGAAGAUUUCUUCAAAGAAAAAAAAAGAGGGAAGAAAUCAGCAGCUAACAAACAGAAGGUGUGAAUGAAGAAGCCUCUUUUUUGUUAAGACAACCAUGAUGUGCAGAGAAGAGUGGGAGAGCACAGGAAGGUGAUUUCCAACAGCCAAUCAUUUCAAUCAACACCUAUUGACUAUUACAACAUAUCAGUACUUAUCCCCAGCUGGGAAGUUCUUCAUUAUCAUUCCUCUUCAGUCCAUUUGCUUAUAUGGACCUUGAGACCCCAAAACAUGUAUAAGUUCCUACCUUUUCUUAAAAAAAAAAAAUCCACAACACUUUGUCAUCCACUUUUUAAUUCUCAUUUUAUCCAGGGGAGAUCUCAAUCCACAAGCUGUACAUAGCUCUUCACAUCACUGUUUCUUAGUGGCUUGGAAGAACUGCUGCCUUGAUGCUGAGAUUAGCAACAGUGCCAGUCACAGGACAGCCCUUGGGCUUGACAUGAUGUUUGAGCUGGGAUAUAUACAAGUAGGUUGAAACUUUUCCUCUUCUGCCUCAUUCUGCAAAAAGAGAGCCACCAAUGUGCUUUGCUCCUCUGCUAUGGGCUUCUACAGGAAAACCUCAGCAAGAUUUUGUCCACGUGUGAAAUGCAGCAUCAGAUCUCAGCUUUCUUAAGGGAUGUGUUACAUUGUAAAAAAAAAAACCCAAAAGCAAACAACAUACAGAGGCAUGGGUGGUACUUGUUGUAGUGUUUCACAACUCGGACAAAACUGUCUGAUGAAAAGCUAUACAGAAGUGUGUCCAGCAACCCUGACUUAUGGUUAGCAGAAUAGGUACAACGUGCUCUAGUUUCUGGAAAUCAUGCUAGCUUUA
RNAcentral lists this long non-coding RNA (2188 nucleotides) under Phasianus colchicus (ring-necked pheasant). RNAcentral's name for it is "lncRNA (ENSPCLG00000020571.1)". The record is from RNAcentral. Lineage: Eukaryota; Metazoa; Chordata; Aves; Galliformes; Phasianidae.